This 66-nucleotide transfer RNA is filed under the name Simulium lundstromi. RNAcentral's name for it is "tRNA-Tyr". It matches the Rfam family "tRNA". Rfam says of the family: Transfer RNA (tRNA) molecules are approximately 80 nucleotides in length. Their secondary structure includes four short double-helical elements and three loops (D, anti-codon, and T loops). Further hydrogen bonds mediate the characteristic L-shaped molecular structure. tRNAs have two regions of fundamental functional importance: the anti-codon, which is responsible for specific mRNA codon recognition, and the 3' end, to which the tRNAs corresponding amino acid is attached (by aminoacyl-tRNA synthetases). tRNAs cope with the degeneracy of the genetic code in two manners: having more than one tRNA (with a specific anti-codon) for a particular amino acid; and 'wobble' base-pairing, i.e. permitting non-standard base-pairing at the 3rd anti-codon position. Lineage: Eukaryota; Metazoa; Arthropoda; Insecta; Diptera; Simuliidae. The record is from RNAcentral.
GAUUAAAUGGCUGAUGAAAGCAGUAGAUUGUAAAUCUAUACAUGAAGAUUAUUCCUUCUUUAAUCA